Molecule: long non-coding RNA, 1056 nt
Filed under: Macaca mulatta (Rhesus monkey)
Lineage: Eukaryota; Metazoa; Chordata; Mammalia; Primates; Cercopithecidae
Description: lncRNA (ENSMMUG00000051939.1)
Source: RNAcentral
UUCACUGAGAAUUAAAUUAAUGUAGGUGUUAUUCCUAUCCUCAUGUUUCAGAUAGAGAAACUGAAGCACGGAGAGGUUAUGCAGCUUGCCCAGGUUCACGCAACUGGUAAGAACAGCAUCGGAGUCCAUGUUCUUAUCACUCAAGAUGUUCUGUUGGGGACAGCAUGCCGUGGUCUUGAGGGAAAUUUUCAUAUGAAAUUCCUGGCUUCAAGAAAGGAAGAAAGAAUGAAUACAAUAUAAUGGCUGUAAUCUGGAAUUGAUUAAAGAUCCAGUAAAUGAGAUAAAGCAAUCUCAACUGAGUAAAGGUAAAGUCAUUUCAAUGUUUAUAAGUAGAUGCUUUCUUUAAAAAAGGGAGAAGUAAUUUUAACGUUUAAAACUAGAGCAAUACUAAGAAACACCUAAAUUUGAUAUCAAAGAAUAAUUUAGCAAAGUAACACUUUAAAAACAAGCAGAGUAGAAGACUAUUGUUUUUGUCUAGCUAGUACACUAUUUCCCUUCUAUUUAUGGAAUCCUUCUUUAUUAUGGGGAACCCUUAGCAUGGGACUAGCAACAGGCUAUUCCACUCUGUUUCCCCAUUGCCCCAAGGAAGGCAGGUGACCCAGCCCUGGCCAAUCAGAAUACUCUCCUUCCUGUCCUGCGUUCACAUAUGGGCACAAGAUCCAAGCAGGGCACAUCAGAGUCUUUCCUGGGAUUUGAUAUGUAGAAUCUGGGAGAUUCUCUAGUCCACUGGGAUUGCAAGCUCUAAGGACAAUGUAACUAUUCUCCCUAGCCAUUUGGAAGAAGUUGCUUAUUGUAGGAGGAAAGAGGCAACAAACAAAGAGAAUGGGCAUAGAGGAGAGAUGGAGGGCCUAAGACCCUUAAUAACAUUUUUUGAGCCUCUAGUCCAGCUGUGCCUGGGCAAUUUCAAUUAAGCUUAUUUGAUUGGGUUUCUGACGCUUGGCAAUCAAGAGUCCUGGUUAUAUGACGAAACCUGUUAUUCUCUAUUUCUUUUUAAUUUCUUUUUUAUCUUUUCUUUUCUUUUUUUAUAGAGAUGGGCUCUCACUAUGUUGACCAGGA